CUCCUACGGGAGGCUGCAGUGGGGAAUUUUGGACAAUGGACGCAAGUCUGAUCCAGCCAUGCCGCGUGCGGGAAGAAGGCCUUCGGGUUGUAAACCGCUUUUGUCAGGGAAGAAAAGGUUCCUUCUAAUACAGGGGACUCAUGACGGUACCUGAAGAAUAAGCACCGGCUUAACUACGUGCCAGCAGCCGCGGUAAUACGUAGGGUGCAAGCGUUAAUCGGAAUUACUGGGCGUAAAGCGUGCGCAGGCGGUUAUGCAAGACAGAGGUGAAAUCCCCGGGCUCAACCUGGGAACUGCCUUUGUGACUGCAUGACUAGAGUACGGUAGAGGGGGAUGGAAUUCCGCGUGUAGCAGUGAAAUGCGUAGAUAUGCGGAGGAACACCGAUGGCGAAGGCAAUCCCCUGGACCUGUACUGACGCUCAUGCACGAAAGCGUGGGGAGCAAACAGGAUUAGAUACCCUGGUAGUCCACGCCCUAAACGAUGUCAACUGGUUGUUGGGAGGGUUUCUUCUCAGUAACGUAGCUAACGCGUGAAGUGACCGC
Molecule: ribosomal RNA, 543 nt
Filed under: uncultured bacterium
Lineage: Bacteria
Description: bacterial SSU rRNA
Rfam family: Bacterial small subunit ribosomal RNA
Source: RNAcentral